AUCUAUUAACCUGCAAUUAGGACAGAUUUACAUGUAAUGAAAAUAUAAAUUAGAUAGAAUAGUACCCAGAUAAAUAAACACAUAAAUAAACGUAUACAGUAUUUACCUCCAACUUUGUGCGAGCUGGGAUCAAGCUCUUUAGUCGGCAACGGAAUGUUUUAUGAACAACCGUUUUAUUGUUGAAAAAGCUGUCCCAGGUUUUAGGGGGCGGCGCGGACAGUUACAGGAUAGGAGGCGUAUAUUGGUCGUCUCGAAGCGAAGUCCUUCUUGU
This 271-nucleotide unclassified non-coding RNA is filed under the name Melitaea cinxia (Glanville fritillary). RNAcentral describes it as "misc RNA ENSMCXG00005007544.1". Lineage: Eukaryota; Metazoa; Arthropoda; Insecta; Lepidoptera; Nymphalidae. The record is from RNAcentral.